UCGUGCUAAUUGCAUUCCCCGCCUAUGCAUAGAAAAGCAAGAAUACCCUUUCAGUCCUCUUCACUUCCUAUCUGAUUCAUCUAGUCGCCUUCAAGGAUGGCAGGAUUGGACCGACGAAAUCCUUGGAAAUGCUGAAUACGUGGAAAUACUAAAAAAUGCAAGCAUCUUUCGUUGCGUUCAACUGUGUAGAGACCUACGCAGCCACCAUGACCAUAACGCUCUUACUGUGUUGAUCUCACGAUGGUGUUCCUCUACUUGCACAUUUGUCACUGCCUGGGGGGAAUUCACCCCUACUCUAGAGGAUGUAUAUGCCCUCUAUCAGUAAGUUCUCUUUUUUUAUUCCUUUCAUUCAUUCUCAUUUUUCUGAAAUAUAUAUAUAUAUAUAUAUAUUUAUCUUGAAUUACAUCUUGUAGCCUUCCCGUUGUUGCUUCGAACUCCUGCGGCCCUUCUAACAUGUCCACUAAAGAUAACGAAUGUGUUGCCUACUUGAUGGAAGCCUUCAAGCAAUCUUCCCGCUUCAUCUCCCGCUUCAAGGGCGAUAUACUCUUUCCAGACUUCGAGACUUCCAGUCGGCAGAAAAAUUCUUGGUUAUCCUGGGUACGCUACUUCUUCCGUGACUACAAGACCAACCAAUGGGACAGCUCUAUUCAUGACAAAUCUGUCCUUGCCUUUCGUGGAGAGACUUGUCCUUU
RNAcentral lists this long non-coding RNA (692 nucleotides) under Panax ginseng (ginseng). Its description in RNAcentral is "long non-coding RNA (PGIN_LNC009139)". The record is from RNAcentral. Lineage: Eukaryota; Viridiplantae; Streptophyta; Magnoliopsida; Apiales; Araliaceae.